RNAcentral lists this ribosomal RNA (489 nucleotides) under Lachancea sp. RNAcentral describes it as "LSU rRNA". It matches the Rfam family "Eukaryotic large subunit ribosomal RNA", at positions 93 to 587 of the family's 3401-position model. Lineage: Eukaryota; Fungi; Ascomycota; Saccharomycetes; Saccharomycetales; Saccharomycetaceae. The record is from RNAcentral.
GUGAAGCGGCAAAAGCUCAAAUUUGAAAUCUGGCACCUUUGGUGUCCGAGUUGUAAUUUGAAGAAGCAACUUUGGGGCUGGUCCUUGUCUAUGUUCCUUGGAACAGGACGUCAUAGAGGGUGAGAAUCCCGUGUGGCGAGGAUCCCAGUUCUUUGUAAAGUGCUUUCGACGAGUCGAGUUGUUUGGGAAUGCAGCUCUAAGUGGGUGGUAAAUUCCAUCUAAAGCUAAAUAUUGGCGAGAGACCGAUAGCGAACAAGUACAGUGAUGGAAAGAUGAAAAGAACUUUGAAAAGAGAGUGAAAAAGGACGUGAAAUUGUUGAAAGGGAAGGGCAUUUGAUCAGACAUGGUGUUUUGCGACCCUCGCUCCUUGUGGGUGGGGAUCUCGCAGUUCACUGGGCCAGCAUCAGUUUUGGCGGCAGGAUAAAUCUUUGGGAAUGUGACUUUGCUUCGGGAAAGUGUUAUAGCCCAGGGGAAUACUGCCAGCCGGGA